GACGAACGCUGGCGGCGUGCUUAACACAUGCAAGUCGAACGGAAAGGCCCUGCUUUUGUGGGGUGCUCGAGUGGCGAACGGGUGAGUAACACGUGAGUAACCUGCCCUUGACUUUGGGAUAACUUCAGGAAACUGGGGCUAAUACCGGAUCGGAGCUCCUGCUGCAUGGUGGGGGUUGGAAAGUUUCGGCGGUUGGGGAUGGACUCGCGGCUUAUCAGCUUGUUGGUGGGGUAGUGGCUUACCAAGGCUUUGACGGGUAGCCGGCCUGAGAGGGUGACCGGCCACAUUGGGACUGGGAUACGGCCCAGACUCCUACAGGAGACAGCAGUGGGGAAUAUUGCACAAUGGGCGGAAGCCUGAUGCAGCAACGCCGCGUGCGGGAAGACGGCCUUCGGGUUGUAAACCGCUUUCGCCUGUGACGAAGCGUGAGUGACGGUAAUGGGUAAAGAAGCACCGGCUAACUACGUG
Molecule: ribosomal RNA, 468 nt
Filed under: uncultured bacterium
Lineage: Bacteria
Description: partial 16S ribosomal RNA
Rfam family: Bacterial small subunit ribosomal RNA
Source: RNAcentral